UUUGGAUCAAUGAUGUUUUCUAAUACUGCGUUAUCUAUCUGUAAUUCUUCUCUGAAGAUAACUACUUAACCUGAGAUCCAAU
Small nucleolar RNA from Salvia miltiorrhiza (redroot sage), 82 nucleotides. RefSeq annotates it as small nucleolar RNA snoR27. The transcript has a single exon. Lineage: Eukaryota; Viridiplantae; Streptophyta; Magnoliopsida; Lamiales; Lamiaceae. The record is from RefSeq and is a predicted model, not a curated record.